AUGCAAGGCGUCGUCUUAGCCUUGCCUUCCCAGGAUCGCUCCCACACCUAUCAUGUUCGUGAUCGGCCUCCUCAACUGUGUAUCGAUCGAAAGGCAGGGCGGCAGAGCCCCCAACCGACGGGAGUAGUUACGUCUAGUAUGUCCCUCCUCGAUUCCCGACAUGCUAUGAUACCCGGGUGGGUAGGAGCGGGUCGAGUCCGUAUCACCGCGGAACAACUGCAGCGGAUCCUCAGACAUAUAUGA
RNAcentral lists this ribosomal RNA (243 nucleotides) under Triticum aestivum (bread wheat). RNAcentral's name for it is "partial small subunit ribosomal RNA". Lineage: Eukaryota; Viridiplantae; Streptophyta; Magnoliopsida; Poales; Poaceae. The record is from RNAcentral.